This 697-nucleotide ribosomal RNA is filed under the name Listeria monocytogenes. Its description in RNAcentral is "bacterial SSU rRNA". It matches the Rfam family "Bacterial small subunit ribosomal RNA", at positions 1 to 676 of the family's 1533-position model. The record is from RNAcentral. Lineage: Bacteria; Bacillati; Bacillota; Bacilli; Caryophanales; Listeriaceae.
UAUUUUAAAGAGAGUUUGAUCCUGGCUCAGGACGAACGCUGGCGGCGUGCCUAAUACAUGCAAGUCGAACGAACGGAGGAAGAGCUUGCUCUUCCAAAGUUAGUGGCGGACGGGUGAGUAACACGUGGGCAACCUGCCUGUAAGUUGGGGAUAACUCCGGGAAACCGGGGCUAAUACCGAAUGAUAAAGUGUGGCGCAUGCCACGCUUUUGAAAGAUGGUUUCGGCUAUCGCUUACAGAUGGGCCCGCGGUGCAUUAGCUAGUUGGUAGGGUAAUGGCCUACCAAGGCAACGAUGCAUAGCCGACCUGAGAGGGUGAUCGGCCACACUGGGACUGAGACACGGCCCAGACUCCUACGGGAGGCAGCAGUAGGGAAUCUUCCGCAAUGGACGAAAGUCUGACGGAGCAACGCCGCGUGUAUGAAGAAGGUUUUCGGAUCGUAAAGUACUGUUGUUAGAGAAGAACAAGGAUAAGAGUAACUGCUUGUCCCUUGACGGUAUCUAACCAGAAAGCCACGGCUAACUACGUGCCAGCAGCCGCGGUAAUACGUAGGUGGCAAGCGUUGUCCGGAUUUAUUGGGCGUAAAGCGCGCGCAGGCGGUCUUUUAAGUCUGAUGUGAAAGCCCCCGGCUUAACCGGGGAGGGUCAUUGGAAACUGGAAGACUGGAGUGCAGAAGAGGAGAGUGGAAUUCCACGUGU